CUGGGGGGAAUGCUCGUCUAUCUCCCAGAGGGAAAUUGCAACUAAACCUACAAGCUGCAAAUCCAACUCCCCUGUCAAAUGAAGCCGUGGCAGUUGGCAAAAAUGACGAGAGUUUUGAAGGUGAGAGCAAAUUUAGUGUUGAUUUUUUCCUUACAAAAUCAUUACCGUUUCUUAGUGCUGGAUUGGAGUCAGUUGGAUGUGCUUGAUACUCAUGGUUGCAUUCCAAAACAGCAAGCAAUUGUUAUGGAAAUAAUAGGUUUACUAAGCUUACUAGUGGAACUAGAGGAAGUCCUUUUAAGAUGCUUACUAAGCUUGCUCUGAUAACUUCUCUUGUGUGUAUUUCCCUUGUGUCUCAUUCAAUACUUUUUUUGGGAAAAUAGAAUGGAGGAAAACAUACGAAUUUCUACUUCAAUUGUUCUAUCAGUCUUUUCUUUGUUUAUUGUUGUUAUUGUAUUUUCUCUGUACUCAGUUGUGCCUCGCUUGGCUGCUGAGAAUCUGCUGCCUGUAAUCAAAAUCAUUGUUUUGUAAUUGGGUAAUUUAAUUCAUUUGGUAGCUUAUAGGUUUGUAUUGUAUAGUAUAAAAGGGGAAAGGAGGGACUUUUAUAUUUAACGCACUGUUGGUUGCCAAGUUAUUGCAGCAGAUGAGAAACUGAAUUCUGAUUGAAGAAGGUAGUAGCAUCAACUGACCAUGGAAACCUGAUAUUGAAUCACCUUAUUUUGUGUCUUUCAUAACGCCCCCUGUUAUUUUGUGCUUUCUCUCCCUUUCUGGUAAUUGAAUUCGUAAUUUUGUCUCUUUUAAUGUAAUGAAAUUACUUCGUAAAUUAAUGUCUGAUUAAGAAUCAAUGCUUGCAUAAUAACAUUUGAUUAUUAUAAUUUAUUUAUAUUUAGAUUAAUUAAUUAUCAUUUCCAUGUUGUUUUUGCUAAUAGAAUGUAUUGAAUGAUGCCUGUAAUCAUGAAGCUUUUUAUGGUAAAUUAUUCUAUUGUUGCUUAUGCUUAUUUACACUACAUCAAGAAAUUAAUAAACUGAUGUUAUGCUGAAGUUUCUGCAGACUGUUCGGGUGGAAGCGCUGGGGAGAAUACUCGUCUAUCUCAAGAAAAUCCAACUCCCCUGUCAAAUACAAAUCCAACUCCCCUGUCAAAUGAAGCCGGGGCAGUUGCCAAGACUGAUGAGAGUUUUGGAGGUGAGAGCAAAUUUAGUAUUGAUUUUUUUUUCCUUACAAAAUCAUUACCGUUUCUUAGUGCUGGAGUGGAGUCAGUUGGAUGUGCUUGAUACUCAUGGUUGCAUUCCAAAACGGCAACCAUUUGUUAUGGAAACAAUAGGUUUUCCUCUCUAAAUUGACAGGCAUGAAAACAGGUUAUAUACACAGCAUCUAGAAUUUUUUUUGCUAAAUCAGUUGUCUCUAUGGCGUCAAAAGAUUAACCAACCUCCUUUAAAAUUUUUUUUGUUCGUAUUCAGCUUUUGAGAAAAAUGAAAGGAACUAAAUACUAACCAUAACCACAUGGCUGAGCUGCCAUAUAUAACAGAGUUUAUGAAAAUUCUUGAUUGUUGAAGAUGGGUUAGAUCGCGAAUCUUGCUUUCCAGCCAUACUUGUGGUGAAUGGACUCUUCCCCAUGCCCAAAUCUCAACAAAUGGAACUAGAGGAAGUCCUUUUAAGAUGCUACUAAGCUUGCUCUGAUAACUUCUAUCCUGUCUAUUUCCCUUGUGUCUCAUUCAAUACUUUUUUUGGGAAUAUAGAAUGGAGGAAAACAUACGAAUUUCUACUUCAAUUGUUCUAUCAGUCUUUUCUUUGUUUAUUGUUGUUAUUGUAUUUUCUCUGUACUCAGUUGUGCCUCGCUUGGCUGCUGAGAAUCUGCUGCCUGUAAUCAAAAUCAUUGUUUUGUAAUUGGGUAAUUUAAUUCAUUUGGUAGCUUAUAGGUUUGUAUUGUAUAGUAUAAAAGGGGAAAGGAGGGACUUUUAUAUUUAACGCACUGUUGGUUGCCAAGUUAUUGCAGCAAAUGAGAAACUGAAUUCUGAUUGAAGAAGGUAGUAGCAUCAACUGACCAUGGAAACCUGAUAUUGAAUCACCUUAUUUUGUGUCUUCAAUAACGCCCCUGUUUAUUUUGUGCUUUCUUGACAAGUCAUUAUUUGACACAUGCAUCUGAUUUUUCUCCUGGCUUACAGGUAUGCUGCACUUGUUUAAGAAUGAAUGCUUGCAAAAUAACAUAUGAUUAUUAUAAUUUAUUUAUAUUUGGAUUAAUUAAUUAUCAUUUUCAUGUUCUUUUUGUUAAUAGAAUGUAUUGAAUGAUUGAUUGAUGCCUGUAAUCAUGAAGCUUUUUGUGAUAAAUCAUUAUAGUGUUGCCUAUGCUUAUUUACACUGCAUCAAGAAAUAAGAAACUGAUGUUAUGCUGAAGUUUCUGCAGGCUGUUCGAGUGGAAGCGCUGGGGGGGAUGCUCGUCUAUCUCCCAGAGGGAAAUUGAAACUAAACCUACAAGCUGCAAAUCCAACUCCCCUGUCAAAUGAAGCCGUGGCAGUUGGCAAAAAUGACGAGAGUUUUGAAGGUGAGAGCAAAUUUAGUAUUGAUUUUUUCCUUACAAAAUCAUUACCGUUUCUUAGUGAAGUCACUAAACUGGGACAAGAUCACAGCCCUCUCUUUUUUUGCCACUGUCACCAUCAACGCCACCCUCUUUUCCUCUCCUUUCCCCUCUUCUUCCUCUAAGAAAG
This 2700-nucleotide long non-coding RNA is filed under the name Populus trichocarpa (black cottonwood). Its description in RNAcentral is "long non-coding RNA (PTRI_LNC004458)". The record is from RNAcentral. Lineage: Eukaryota; Viridiplantae; Streptophyta; Magnoliopsida; Malpighiales; Salicaceae.